Molecule: ribosomal RNA, 928 nt
Filed under: Bacillus sp. BES2
Lineage: Bacteria; Bacillati; Bacillota; Bacilli; Caryophanales; Bacillaceae
Description: bacterial SSU rRNA
Rfam family: Bacterial small subunit ribosomal RNA
Source: RNAcentral
UGUUAGCGGCGGACGGGUGAGUAACACGUGGGUAACCUGCCUGUAAGACUGGGAUAACUCCGGGAAACCGGGGCUAAUACCGGAUGCUUGUUUGAACCGCAUGGUUCAGACAUAAAAGGUGGCUUCGGCUACCACUUACAGAUGGACCCGCGGCGCAUUAGCUAGUUGGUGAGGUAACGGCUCACCAAGGCGACGAUGCGUAGCCGACCUGAGAGGGUGAUCGGCCACACUGGGACUGAGACACGGCCCAGACUCCUACGGGAGGCAGCAGUAGGGAAUCUUCCGCAAUGGACGAAAGUCUGACGGAGCAACGCCGCGUGAGUGAUGAAGGUUUUCGGAUCGUAAAGCUCUGUUGUUAGGGAAGAACAAGUGCCGUUCAAAUAGGGCGGCACCUUGACGGUACCUAACCAGAAAGCCACGGCUAACUACGUGCCAGCAGCCGCGGUAAUACGUAGGUGGCAAGCGUUGUCCGGAAUUAUUGGGCGUAAAGGGCUCGCAGGCGGUUUCUUAAGUCUGAUGUGAAAGCCCCCGGCUCAACCGGGGAGGGUCAUUGGAAACUGGGGAACUUGAGUGCAGAAGAGGAGAGUGGAAUUCCACGUGUAGCGGUGAAAUGCGUAGAGAUGUGGAGGAACACCAGUGGCGAAGGCGACUCUCUGGUCUGUAACUGACGCUGAGGAGCGAAAGCGUGGGGAGCGAACAGGAUUAGAUACCCUGGUAGUCCACGCCGUAAACGAUGAGUGCUAAGUGUUAGGGGGUUUCCGCCCCUUAGUGCUGCAGCUAACGCAUUAAGCACUCCGCCUGGGGAGUACGGUCGCAAGACUGAUACUCAUAGGAAUUGACGAGGGCCCGCACAACCGGUGGAGCAUGUGGUUUAUUCAAAGCAACGCGAAGAACUUUACAAGGCUUGACAUCCUCUGACAAUCCUAGA